CCCCCCCACAACCACUCGGCUCGCCCCCCGCCCGCAACGGAAGGGGGUGGAGCUUCCUGCGGGCGGGCGCCAAUGAGAGCCUUCCAUGGGCCGCAUGCAGAUGACGACACCGCGUAGCGUGGGCUGGGGGAGCGGGAGGGGGCAGAGAGGGCGCGCGGGGGAGCAAGUAGCAGCCAAUGGCCGCAAAGUGCCGCGGGAUGGCUUGCACAUUUUGCGCGCGAGGGCAGGGGACCUUGGGGUGCGAACGUCCAAUGGGAUCGCAGGGCGCGCGGCUUGGUGCGGACGGAGGGGAAGGCAAAAUGGCGGCGGCGGUGGGGGGGGGGGGUCGCGGCACCCCAGGACAGAAGGUGGGGUUUGGGGGAAAGCAGCCUCAGCGCUGCGGCAGCGCCGUGCCUGGGAGCGGCGUCACCGUUUCCCGGCUGUAUUCUGGUGCAGCGCUGCACGGGUGAACGCAGUUAGCCCGCGGGCUGCAAAUCCACAGAGCGCACCUGAGAUCCUGCAGGAAAGGAGAGGCACCGUGCACCGUGCAGUCAGCGUGUGGCUGGGCUCGGAUUUAGGAGCACGAGGGCGGGGAGACGGGAGGUGCAGCGGGAAAGGAGCGGGGCUGAGGCGCUGACCUCGGAACGGGAGCACUGCCCCGUGCGUGUGAAGAUCAGGGGGCACGAACCGCGCUCCCAGCGCUGAGCAAGGCCGGCGUGCAGCAGCCGCUCCACCCAGUGCAGAGUACGGCUGAGAUCCCUGCUCUGCCAGCUCCCACCCGGCGCUGGCUGCGAGCAGGGGCUGCCCGGGCAGUUCUGCGGUUUUCCUUUUUUUUCUAAAGCACGAGCAGAAUUUCAGCGGGACCUAAGAAUAGUCCUGCUGGCACUUGGAAAUUAAACAGCGUUCCGAUAUGCAACUAUGCUUUGCACAAUGGGUGCACGGCGGGGGAAGGCAGCCCGGAGCAACAGUGAGUCAGUACAGGGAGGAGGGCUCUGGCCAAUGACUCACUGCAUUAGAAAUUGAAGGCUGUUAACACACUUGGCUGAAAUAGCCCAUUUACCGUACAGUGGAAAAAUUAAGGCCCAGCAGACUGGUCAUGGAGGAGUAUUUUGUUUUUGUUCUUUUUUCCCUCCUAAAUGACGGAUCCCAACAUUACUUUCUGAAGCCAGUUUGGUGUGUUGCAGCUCAAGGGAAGUGGGCAGAGCGAAGACUGUCAGAAGCUUGCUUCCUAUUCAUGAUAAUGGCAGUUGUUACUUAUGCAUCUGCACACCCUGAAGUCAGAAAACGGUGCAUUUCUAAUGUGGCCCUUCCCUUUCCCCCUGAGCAGCAGUACAAACUGAUCCCGGUUAAAAAUAACCCCAGAUUCCUGAUACUGAACAAAAGAAGGCAAUUGCACAACUCCUCUUGAAACUGUACCGCCUCAUCAGGAUUUGGGAUGUCAUCAACUCAGGAGUGAGCGGCAGUGUGGCCAUUCCCCAUCAGUCCGAGACAGACAGAAGGACACACCUAUGAGACCACUGCUGUCAUGACGGUUUAAAUACUGCCUAAUUAUGUUGCAACUUUUACUCCCAGGUUUCUGUAGAGAAGAUUGCUGAUGCUGUGAGAUCUCUUCUCAAAACACCCCUGGGGGAAAGAAGGCUGAAACCACCGCAAGAGAAAUGAACCAGAGCCAUAUUCAGUUAGCCUGAGUUCCACCCACAUCCCUGUGACUGGAGAUUCCUGUUAGCUGGUUCCAAGUGCUUAUCUGCAGACGAGAUCUCAGCUCUUGGUUGUUCAAGGUUUCGUCGCCAUCUCAUGCGCAGGAGAUGAGCUGAAAAGCACAGGGUGGUUCAGCAGCAAGCUGGCGUAUGUGGGAGUGGGAGAGCUGUGAGAUGCUUAUCAGUGCUGUGUCUGCACUGGCAGUUUUUACCACGUUAGCCUGCAGCACCUGUGUCCUCAGCCGUAACAUCUCAGUUAUAGCCUCCAGAAGUAUUUCCCUAGAAGACUGAAUGCAGAAGAAAGUCAAGUGUAUGUCAGUUCCCUUUGAGGUUGACCACCAGGGAACCUCAGCAGACAGAUCACCUCAAAAUCUUCAGACCAAGAGGAGUGAGUGGCAGAGCUCACACACAUGGGACGGCCUCACUACCAGGAACAGGAGGCAGAGUCCUACCACGACACCACAAACUGCUCCAGCAAUCAUCCCAAUAUUUUGGGCAUCUGUUGUCCGGAAAAUAAACAGAUUAACAGGUAAACUCUCAGUAUGGGCCAUAUAGGCACAUUCUAUUUCACACCAGAAAUUAUACUACCAUGUAUAAAUCAGAAGUUAAAUUACUUAUUUAAGCGUCUCCAUGCAGUUGAACCAAUUUAUCCUAAAUAUUGUUUCUAAACAUGAGACAAUACUGAGAAAAGCGUUCAAUUCUAGAAGGGUGGGAUCACACAAGCUAUGCUCUCAGCUGUGAGUCACAACUGAAAUGGGGAGGAAAAAUCCUUAUGUAAGAGCCCAGAACCACAAAAAGCAUAAUAGAGGCAGACAGCACAACCCACGCUCAAGGAAAAGUACCAAACAAUUUUCUAAAGGCAGGAGAGUGAACUACAGAUAUUUCCCCAUGAAGUAUGAAUCCUGAAAUGAUCGCUGUCUACUCACAGAAUGAAUUAUCAAUUUUGGGGAAAAAAGGGACCCGAGGAGGACAAAGAGGAUGGGAGAAAGGAAAACUGUGCUUUUCCAAUACAAGGCAUUUUUCAUCCAAAAUAGGGAAAUUAAUGAAACAACACUUCCCAAUGUGUCUGAGCCCUUGGCUGAACCUGCAUGAAACCUUUUGAUAAGAGUGGUUAGGUUGGGUUUGGCUGUAAGUUGUUUCCUUAGGGCUGGUCCCUGUGGAGGCUUUAGCAAAUCAAAAUGAGGUUUUAAACCAAUUCAGUUCAAUUGACAUGAAAGCUGCCAGGACACUUUUACUUCGGAUGCCUGAGGGGAGCAGGUUUUCCUUGCUGCAUGACCAUAAUGCAGCUACGUCAAGCCUGGCUGGGCAGAUACAUUCCAAAGCUAUGGAAUCUCCACAGAAGAGAUCUCUGUCAGCAGUCAUUUAUUACAACAAUUCCGGCUCCUGCUGAUCUCCCCUGAGAUCUGCACAUAAAAACCUUCCAAACUGCAUUGUUUGUUUGGAUUUGCUGUCAAUGACUGUGCUCGACUCCACCCUUUUCCUUGCACGCAUAUGCAAAGACAUAAUACUAAGAUAUGUACACACCUUUGAUGUGAUUAAUCAUGUAGAUACGAAUUUUAUUCCCUACUGUUUGGGCCAAAUUGAUUACAUCUGGAUUAAAACCAAGCUGUACCCAAAGUCACUUUUUCACUCUGCACAUUACUUCCUGUCAGUCAGCCUUUCUGCCUGGAGAUAGCUUGCUGUCUCAAGCACAACAAAUAGUUUGGAACUGCAAUGAUGGACUAUCCAUAGAGAUUUUAUACUGAGCAGUAAUCUCAUGCAGUCCUUCCAGCCUGAACUAACUAACAGCUGGAUGCUCAGCAAACAUCUCACCUGUUUGGUGUUUUUUUUUUCCCCCCUCUGGUAAUAUGUUGGUCAUUCUCAAAAUCAGAAUUCCUAACAGACCAAAACAUUUGAGCCCAAAUAGCGUAUUUACCACUCUGGGUUAUACAGAGUACUGCUGAGCAAGUGAGAACUGUGCCAUGUGACUAAAGUACAAAAGAGCAAAGGUGUGGUGCAGAGUUCACCGCUGAAGUGGGUCAGCUGAGGACCUGCAUUGCUCAUAUAGAGGUGAGAAUACCAGUUACGUGCAAU
This is a long non-coding RNA of Numida meleagris (helmeted guineafowl), 3749 nucleotides long. RefSeq lists it as uncharacterized. The transcript has 4 exons. The record is from RefSeq and is a predicted model, not a curated record. Lineage: Eukaryota; Metazoa; Chordata; Aves; Galliformes; Numididae.